UACGUAGGUGACAAGCGUUGUCCGGAUUUACUGGGCGUAAAGGGCGUGCAGGCGGUCUGUUAAGUGCAGGGUGAAAGCUCCCGGCUCAACUGGGAGAGGUCCUUGCAUACUGGCGGACUUGAGGGGGGUAGAGGAAAGUGGAAUUCCCGGUGUAGUGGUGAUAUGCGUAGAUAUCGGGAGGAACACCUGUGGCGAAGGCGGCUUUCUGGGCCCUACCUGACGCUGAGACGCGAAAGCGUGGGGAGCGAACCGG
Molecule: ribosomal RNA, 253 nt
Filed under: uncultured bacterium
Lineage: Bacteria
Description: partial 16S ribosomal RNA
Rfam family: Bacterial small subunit ribosomal RNA
Source: RNAcentral